Molecule: long non-coding RNA, 1249 nt
Filed under: Sinocyclocheilus grahami
Lineage: Eukaryota; Metazoa; Chordata; Actinopteri; Cypriniformes; Cyprinidae
Description: lncRNA (ENSSGRG00000013933.1)
Source: RNAcentral
GUAAAAUCUAAUAAAAUUUUGCGUUGAUCUGUCCACUUAUCUAUGUAAUGAUGACUCUAUUACUAAUUAUCUAAACUCCUGUCGCUAAACUGUUGUGUCACGUGGUUUUGGCAGUAACUAUGGAAACGUCCACGCAAUGGACUAUCAGCUUCCGUUUUUGACUUUUAUUCACCGCCGUAUAUAGGAGUGAAACAAUGGCCUCAGCUUCUAGUCUUAAGCUUCUUAAACGGAUUAUAAUGACAUUCUAGUUUGUCUGACAUCUGAAAGUGGAGAUGAAGCCUCAUACCUGCGUCGUCAGACCUAAGCUGAUGUUACUGUCAACUGAGGCUCCUCUCUUAAUACAGGACAUUACAGACGCGCGACCCACUCGUGCUUCCAGCGACAUCUCCAGUCCUCCAGUGUCUGCAUGUUCCACGGCCGCUGAAUCCAGCCUCAAUGUUUUCUCAGCGACACAGAAAUGCCCAUGCAGUCCGAGCGAUUCCAGGGAUCUAAAGCCUCACAGUGUCAGCUCUAUUACUAAAGGGACACUGCUUCCAUUUCUAGCCAAAAAUAGCUCAAACGUAACCUCACAAAACAAUGUGUAUGCCAGUGAUAUUUCUGGCCGGCAUUUCUUAUUUGAUAAACGAUGGAAAAAUGGAACUUACAUCACUAUUGGCAUUGAAGAUGAUGUUCUGAUUAACCACAACCCUACAAAUCCACUCUCUCAGGAGUUCCAUGUUUAUCGCUCUCACAAUCUAACCAGAUUUGCCCACCGCAAAGAACUCUGCCCGCGCGACCCAAGACCACUUAUCUGCGGGUCUGAUUAUCUGGCUUCAUUUCCAUCAGUUCUGUUACCAGCCACCACCCCAUCUGUCAGUGGACGACUCUGUUUAUCACAAAACUGUAAAAACAGAUUAAGGAUGAAAAAUAGAGCACGCAAUCUCUUCUCUGAUGGUGCUAACAACAAAACGCAGUCGUACCCUGAUCCACACCUGGGCGCCUCGGCCUCUUUUGUUCAGAGGCUCACAGAGAUUUCCUCUCUGGAAUCAGAAACAAUGCGGCAGGAGAGAAUGAAAAGACUCAAAAAGAUCAAUAGGCAGGACUCUUAAUCGGAGUUCAUUAGCCAAAGAGGAAACACUUGACUCCAGAAAUCACAACUGUGCCAAGAUGGAGUAAAUAAAGUCAAGGAGAAAAACUUGAGAGGUACAGUGUUGUAGCACAACCACUAUAUUGUAACUGAAAUGAAAUGAAAACGAUGACUGUAGCAACC